UACGAAGGGGGCUAGCGUUGCUCGGAAUGACUGGGCGUAAAGGGCGCGUAGGCGGUUUGUACAGUCAGAUGUGAAAUUCCUGGGCUCAACCUGGGGGCUGCAUUUGAUACGUAUGGACUGGAGUGAGGAAGAGGGUCGUGGAAUUCCCAGUGUAGAGGUGAAAUUCGUAGAUAUUGGGAAGAACACCGGUGGCGAAGGCGGCGACCUGGUCCUUUACUGACGCUGAGGCGCGAAAGCGUGGGGAGCAAACAGG
This 253-nucleotide ribosomal RNA is filed under the name uncultured bacterium. Its description in RNAcentral is "partial 16S ribosomal RNA". It matches the Rfam family "Bacterial small subunit ribosomal RNA", at positions 524 to 776 of the family's 1533-position model. The record is from RNAcentral.